CCGCGCCCACACCCGCGCUCGCACCCGCGCGCCGGCCCUGCCCCCUCGCGCCUCCGCCCGGGCCCCAGACCCUGGGGGCAGAGGGCAGAGGGCAGAGGUCAGAGGCCGCGGGGAGGAACCCCCCUGUUGCUUCCGCCUCCCGGGGCGCAGGCGCUGGGCGCGGCGGGGAAGGGACUCGGCACUGGGGAAACCCGGAGUUUCAGCCAGGGUCCCAGGGCUUCCUUCCCGGGUUCCUGCCGGAAAACUUUUCUCCUCCGCCCGGAAGCCUCGAUGGGGCAGUGAGAUCGCGGGGCGAGGUGGGAGUGUGGGAGGGGGCCGCGGGCAGAGAGCGGGAGUCCGGCUGGGUGGGAGAUCUCCUGAGCCGAAGCUGGGUCUCGCCCCAGCGUGGCGCCACCGACCCGCAGGCUUUUCCUGCUCUGCAGAUGGAGAGACACAGGGACGCUCCUCAGGUGGCUGCCCUGGGCUGCCAGCCUGUCAGUGGGAGGGGAGGGUGCAGACAAGAGGCCCCUGUUUCCGAAACCCCUCUGUCCCCAAAGCUGCGACAGCAGAAGACACUUAGGCGGCCUGAGGGGUUGGUGAACCACAGAGGAGCUCAGCUUCGCCUGGUCUCCAGCUCCCGGUGGCGGUGGCGUGUCCUUAAUGCUGCUGGCUUUGAACUGGACUGAGAACUAUUUACCACACAAACACCACCAUUUCAAUCCCGGAGAAUGCCUGUUUUCCCUAGGGUGACCUGGCCGGGGUAACAAACACUUGUUCUCUAAUUCCACGGUCAGCCUUGACUUAAUUGAGCCUGUCCUGCUCUGGCCUGCCCUGUGCUCAGGAAGCUGGCGGUCCCCCUCAGUGGAUCUUCACCCACAGGGACAACCUGCUGCAGACCGGGUAGGAGGGAGGCAGGGGCCUCUUCCCCUCUCCUUCCUGGCCUGGCCCCACACCCACCAGUGUUGGUUUCACUCUGUGGCUACGAUUCUUCCUGGGUGCCCUUUCCAUUGCACAACUCCUCUAGGCUCUACGAACAGAACUUCUCCCCGCCCCCAAGCCUCUUAGGGUGAGACAUGUUGUCGGUCUGCCAUUGUUGCUGGUCCCUAAAUAGCAGCACCCUUUGAAGGAUCCUUGAACCAUGACCACACCGCAACAAAGAGUCCUUCAUCAAACUCGCUUCCAAAUCCCCUCCCAAGAACACCUUCAGUUUCCUGCAAGAACCCUGACUGCUGAAGCCGGAUUUUGACUAAGCUUCUACCUUGUAAACCGUGACUGUGGGAUUGGGGUCGAGGCGCAAUCAGAGGUUGUAUAAGGCACUAGAUCAAGGCUGCCUGUCUGUCAGGAGUGUCUGCUUUAUUCAGUAGUAAAUGUGAAUUGUUUUUCAUUCUGUUGUGAAUACUGUUGGUUGACAAUGCAGCAGCCAUGCCCUCUCUAUCCUUGCUGGUUCAGGUAUCCACUCUGUGUGGCUAAGGGUAAACUCUGUCUCUUGAGAAAAUCUUGGUAACUCCAUUUCUCUUUCCAACAAUUGGCUUCAAACAAGCUCAAGUCAAUGAGUCCCAACAGGAAGCCUGCUGGGGGUUGUCUGGCAAAGGUUUUCUCACUCCUACAGGAACAUAAAGAGGAAAUGCUCCUUUUUCCCUGGUGAAUGUUGCAUUCCCUGUCUGGAUGCAAUGCCUGGUGCUCCGCAGCCCUUUGCACUUAUAAGAGAAGGUGGCCGGAAGAGCAUCUUCACCCUGGGGUGGCCGCCUGGGAAGAUGAGAAGAGCAGGAGUCCUUGGUGGCACAACCAGGCAAUUCACCAAAAUCCUGCUGCCCUCACCUGGAAUUUCCUGCUAUGAGAGACGUCUCCGUUUAAACCACAUGAGCUGGAUUUUCUGUUUCUAACACAUGUCAGCAUCUUCACGGUAAAUCUAAGAAAAAAAAAUCAGGGCUAUUAAAAAACAAAGUCCAACUCACCCUGUGCUAUGGUCUGAAGGUGUCCUCCCAAAUUCACACGUGGAAACCUAAUCCCAAAUACCUGAUACCUAAUCCCAAAUAUUAAGAGGUGGGGGCCUUGGGAGGUGGUUAGGAAUGGGAUUAGUGCCCUUUAAAACUGAGGUUUUUGGGAGCCUGCUUGCCCUUUCUGCCAUAUGAAGAUGCUUAGAAGAGGCCUUCUAUGAAGCAGAGAACUUUUCUCAGAUGCCAGAUCUGCUGGGACCUUGAUCUUGGAUUUCUCAGCCUUCAGAACUGUGGGAAGCAAACUUCUGUGUGUAUGAAUAGCCAUCUAAAGGAUUUUGUUACAGCAGCCUGAGCAGACUAAGACACCCUGUGAGUCAGUUAUUUUUGGCUGUGUCACGAGUGACCGCGAGUGCAGGAGCUGAAACGGCAGUGAGUGGGUUACCAUUUCUCAGGACCCUGCGGAAUUGUGCAUUCAAAAGUGAAACGACUGCCAGAACUCCAGGGCCUGCAAGUUUCUUCCUUCACAUCUAAGCAGAAGGAGAGACUUCACAGUGACGUGCCAGCUAAGUCACGUGCCCACUCCUGCCCAGUCUGUCACGCAAGUAGCAGAGUCCCUGAGAUGAUUGGCUUAGGCCCGAGGUCAGUGCACAUCACCAAACUAGUAAGUGUCCAAGGGGAAUGAAAUU
RNAcentral lists this long non-coding RNA (2602 nucleotides) under Homo sapiens (human). RNAcentral describes it as "HSALNT0207257". The record is from RNAcentral. Lineage: Eukaryota; Metazoa; Chordata; Mammalia; Primates; Hominidae.